ACUUCCCGCUCUUCUUCUUCUGAAAAAUUUCAAAAAACUUUGAAAUGAAAUAAGGCUGCACAUGUCAGUCACACCAUCAAUUGGAAAGGGAAAUAUUAAAAAAAUAAUAAUAAAAAAUCCCUAUCUCUUCUCAUUUUUCUCUUUCACUUCUUUACUCCUUGCUUCCGUCUUCUUCAUCUCUCUUGAAAUUUUUUUAUCCCACUUUUCUUUCUACAUCUUCUGCAUCAGCAUCUGAAGGUUUGCUUUUGAAAGAGCCAUGGGAAGUAGAAUUCGGUGCUAAAUCUGAAGAUCGCUGACCCUAAGAUCCACAGAUUUGCGUUAAGAGUAAAGCAGACCAUGAAAGGAAGAUGGAGAGCAUGUGGAAGAAGACUAUUAGGCAUGAUGAUGAAGAUAAUGGUCUGUUAUGGUAGAGCCAUUAUAUGGUUCUUCAAGUACAACAUUGAUUUACGGAAAAUAUUGGCUCACUCUAAAGGAUGCUUUCUAUUUGGUCAUUAUUAGUAUACUUAUAAUUGGAUUUCUCAUGUUUGUUUAGUUGCUACUAUAAUUUAUA
Molecule: long non-coding RNA, 550 nt
Organism: Lotus japonicus
Lineage: Eukaryota; Viridiplantae; Streptophyta; Magnoliopsida; Fabales; Fabaceae
Exons: 3
Source: RefSeq, a predicted model, not a curated record